This is a regulatory RNA element of Bacillus anthracis str. 'Ames Ancestor', 356 nucleotides long. It matches the Rfam family "cspA thermoregulator". The record is from Rfam. NCBI's taxonomy places the organism in Bacteria, Bacillati, Bacillota, Bacilli, Caryophanales, Bacillaceae.
UGAGAACUAGUUUAUGUUUCGUAUUUGAUAAUGUGUGGAUUCUUUUUUUAGAUAGGAAAACUAAAAAAUUAAAAAAAUGUAUUUUCUUAGGAGGAAAUAAUUAUGGCAGUAACAGGACAAGUAAAAUGGUUUAACAACGAAAAAGGCUUCGGUUUCAUCGAAGUUCCAGGCGAAAACGACGUAUUCGUACAUUUCUCUGCAAUCGAAACUGACGGUUUCAAAUCUCUAGAAGAAGGUCAAAAAGUUAGCUUCGAAAUCGAAGAAGGUAACCGUGGACCUCAAGCUAAAAACGUAAUCAAACUAUAAUUUUAUAGUUUAUUAUAGAAAAAAGGAUGGCUGCUGCCAUCCUUUUUUUG